AUACUUAGCUGGUGGGGCAGAUACCAUGACCAUGAAGGUGUUGUUCCCAGGGCGAGGCUUAUCCAUUGUGCUCCAGAUGUGCCGACCCCUGCGAUUUCCCCACAUGUGGGAAACGCGACUGCAUAAUUUGUGGCAGUGGGGGACUGCAUCACAAGUCCACAAUUUCCCCUG
This 171-nucleotide small nuclear RNA is filed under the name Propithecus coquereli (Coquerel's sifaka). Its description in RNAcentral is "U1 spliceosomal RNA (ENSPCOG00000000331.1)". It matches the Rfam family "U1 spliceosomal RNA". From Rfam's summary of the family: U1 is a small nuclear RNA (snRNA) component of the spliceosome (involved in pre-mRNA splicing). Its 5' end forms complementary base pairs with the 5' splice junction, thus defining the 5' donor site of an intron. Lineage: Eukaryota; Metazoa; Chordata; Mammalia; Primates; Indriidae. The record is from Rfam by way of RNAcentral.